Molecule: long non-coding RNA, 288 nt
Filed under: Cicer arietinum (chickpea)
Lineage: Eukaryota; Viridiplantae; Streptophyta; Magnoliopsida; Fabales; Fabaceae
Description: long non-coding RNA (CARI_LNC001716)
Source: RNAcentral
CGAUACAAUAUACAUCUGGAGUUUAUUUGACAUGUUAAUCAAAAUCCAAUGGUUCACGACCAACAAACACAGCACAAGCAAUAACUAGUAUACAAUGAAUAUUUAUUUUGUUGGUUGGUUGGAGCCAUCAUGCAAUUACACGAUUGUAGUGAAAAAGAUUGCAAGAUCACUAUGGAUCUCUUGUCCUCUGAGGCAUAAAUCGGUUUAAACUAUUGUAAUAUGCGGAAUUGGAUUGGCCAUUUCUUCCUCUCUAUAAAUCAAUUAGUAUAUAAUCCAAUCAAAGUGUUU